ACGAACGCUGGCGGCGUGCUUCACACAUGCAAGUCGAACGGAAAGGCCCUGCUUUUGUGGGGUGCUCGAGUGGCGAACGGGUGAGUAACACGUGAGUAACCUGCCCUUGACUUUGGGAUAACUUCAGGAAACUGGGGCUAAUACCGGAUAGGAGCUCCUGCUGCAUGGUGGGGGUUGGAAAGUUUCGGCGGUUGGGGAUGGACUCGCGGCUUAUCAGCUUGUUGGUGGGGUAGUGGCUUACCAAGGCUUUGACGGGUAGCCGGCCUGAGAGGGUGACCGGCCACAUUGGGACUGAGAUACGGCCCAGACUCCUACGGGAGGCAGCAGUGGGGAAUAUUGCACAAUGGGCGGAAGCCUGAUGCAGCAACGCCGCGUGCGGGAUGACGGCCUUCGGGUUGUAAACCGCUUUCGCCUGUGACGAAGCGUGAGUGACGGUAAUGGGUAAAGAAGCACCGGCUAACUACGUGC
Molecule: ribosomal RNA, 468 nt
Filed under: uncultured bacterium
Lineage: Bacteria
Description: partial 16S ribosomal RNA
Rfam family: Bacterial small subunit ribosomal RNA
Source: RNAcentral